UGCGGAAGGAUCAUUACUUAAAUCCAAACCUGCUCAACCAAGCCAAUCUGUUGCAAGGCGCAAGCCUCGCAGCUAAAACCUAACCAAAAGCAAGCUAACUAAGCUUCAACCUAAAACCAAAUCCUCAACGAUGGAUAUCUAGGUUCCUACUACGAUGAAGAACGCAGCGAAGUGCGAUAAGCAAUGCGAAUUGCAGAGCCGAGAGUCAUCAGAUUUUUGAACGUAACUGACACCGGAGAGCUCUCUCUUCGGUAUGCUUCUUUCAGUGUGUGAUUCUCUCAUCACCCAAACCUUAAUGCGAUAGAUGCCCUUCUAUUGCUAAGCUCGAAAGCACUCUGAACCCUGCAGCGGAGGUCUUAGGACUGACGCACUCAAUGCAGUAGUCACAUUCUCAAAUGUGAACUCAUUGAGCGUAGAGUCAGCGCAUGCUUGCAUGCCAGUGCUUAGACACCAAAAUUUUCUCAGCAUCUGAAAUGAAGUAGGACCACCCGCUGAACUUAA
This 501-nucleotide ribosomal RNA is filed under the name uncultured Tintinnida. Its description in RNAcentral is "eukaryotic LSU rRNA". The stretch from base 120 to 271 matches the Rfam family "5.8S ribosomal RNA". Lineage: Eukaryota; Ciliophora; Spirotrichea; Tintinnida. The record is from RNAcentral.